RNAcentral lists this ribosomal RNA (812 nucleotides) under Cassava frogskin disease phytoplasma. RNAcentral's name for it is "bacterial SSU rRNA". It matches the Rfam family "Bacterial small subunit ribosomal RNA", at positions 461 to 1282 of the family's 1533-position model. Lineage: Bacteria; Bacillati; Mycoplasmatota; Mollicutes; Acholeplasmatales; Acholeplasmataceae. The record is from RNAcentral.
AAACUCCCUUGACGGUACUUAAUGAAUAAGCCCCGGCUAAUUAUGUGCCAGCAGCCGCGGUAAUACAUAAGGGGCGAGCGUUAUCCGGAAUUAUUGGGCGUAAAGGGUGCGUAGGCGGUUUAAUAAGUCUAUAGUUUAAUUUCAGUGCUUAACGCUGUUGUGCUAUAGAAACUGUUUUACUAGAGUGAGUUAGAGGCAAGCGGAAUUCCAUGUGUAGCGGUAAAAUGCGUAAAUAUAUGGAGGAACACCAGAGGCGUAGGCGGCUUGCUGGGACUUUACUGACGCUGAGGCACGAAAGCGUGGGGAGCAAACAGGAUUAGAUACCCUGGUAGUCCACACCGUAAACGAUGAGUACUAAGUGUCGGGUAAAACCGGUACUGAAGUUAACACAUUAAGUACUCCGCCUGAGUAGUACGUACGCAAGUAUGAAACUUAAAGGAAUUGACGGGACUCCGCACAAGCGGUGGAUCAUGUUGUUUAAUUCGAAGAUACACGAAAAACCUUACCAGGUCUUGACAUUUUCUUGCGAAGUUAUAGAAAUAUAAUGGAGGUUAUCAGGAAAACAGGUGGUGCAUGGUUGUCGUCAGCUCGUGUCGUGAGAUGUUAGGUUAAGUCCUAAAACGAGCGCAACCCUUGUCGUUAAUUGCCAGCAUGUAAUGAUGGGGACUUUAACGAGACUGCCAAUGAAAAAUUGGAGGAAGGUGGGGAUUACGUCAAAUCAUCAUGCCCCUUAUGAUCUGGGCUACAAACGUGAUACAAUGGUUGAUACAAAGAGUAGCUGAAACGCGAGUUCUUAGCCAAUCUCACAAAAU